Gossypium hirsutum (cotton) is the source of this 172-nucleotide non-coding RNA. NCBI's taxonomy places the organism in Eukaryota, Viridiplantae, Streptophyta, Magnoliopsida, Malvales, Malvaceae. The record is from Rfam.
UGCAAUAAAACAUAAUCCCUGAGGUAAUUUUUCUUACAUCUCCCCCUCUCGGAGCCCAAGUAUUGUAUACGCCCCCAAAAUAAAGAGGCUUGAAUACAAGAAGAAAAGCACCUAUACCUAGUAAAAUUAAGUGAAUACCUAAAUUUGUGGUCAUUUUAUUUCUACCUUUUCA